AGCAAAGCUGUGUUUCCUGGGGAAAAGUGUGGCAUCUUCAGUUUACAUCAACUUGCUCUCAUCUGAGACAAAACUCUGUGUGUCCCUGCUGCGAUGGAUGCCAGAUAGAGCCUGCUUGCCUAGGAUGGGGACAGAUGCCAUUGGAAACAGAUGCUGGUGAGUCCUUCCUCAGAAAUCCGGUCCUUGCACUGCCUGGGAAUACAAACAGAUGCUCUGUGGCACUUCAUUAUUGGAUUGCGAGCACAUUGAUGUUUCAUAAAGGGCAUUGUAGAGUAAUGUUUGCCAUGCUCCAUGCCAAUUGCGGGCUGAGAUUGCUACAGCAUCAUGGAACAGAUGGAAGUUAAAGUCGUAGCUAAGCUCCAGUCUCCAUUUCUUUUGAUGAAGAGCUCCAAAGAUAGCUUUAAGUGAACUUUCAAAGGAACUGAGAUGGAAUGACCCCACCUGUCAGUUCACUGGAACUGCCAUGCCCUGAUAUUGACGUGAAAGGGGUAUGCUAAUGUCCCAAUGAGAAAUACUUCGACAUUCUGACUGAAGCUCCCCUGUGGCAGGACAGAUAGCCAAGACUAUGCUGAGAUUGCUUAGAAAUGUGCUUUUCUAGAACAUAGAUUUUGUCAUCAAGUUGCAUGAUUAUCCAGUAAUCAUAUGUAUUAUUUUAAUAACUAAAAUGGUUUCUCCCUGCUCCUGCCAAGUUUACUUCAUGAGUGUAAACAGCAUGAGCCGGAGGGUUAAACUGGGAUUUUCCGUCAACUAUGGUCUUUAGUAUUGUGCACUAAAUAUAGAAGUUCAAUGAAA
Molecule: long non-coding RNA, 792 nt
Filed under: Homo sapiens (human)
Lineage: Eukaryota; Metazoa; Chordata; Mammalia; Primates; Hominidae
Description: novel transcript
Source: RNAcentral